Molecule: ribosomal RNA, 494 nt
Filed under: uncultured bacterium
Lineage: Bacteria
Description: partial 16S ribosomal RNA
Rfam family: Bacterial small subunit ribosomal RNA
Source: RNAcentral
GAACGCUGGCGGCGUGCCUAAUACAUGCAAGUCGGGCGAACGGACGAGAAGCUUGCUUCUCUGAUGUUAGCGGCGGACGGGUGAGUAACACGUGGAUAACCUACCUAUAAGACUGGGAUAACUUCGGGAAACCGGAGCUAAUACCGGAUAAUAUUUUGAACCGCAUGGUUCAAAAGUGAAAGACGGUCUUGCUGUCACUUAUAGAUGGAUCCGCGCUGCAUUAGCUAGUUGGUAAGGUAACGGCUUACCAAGGCAACGAUGCAUAGCCGACCUGAGAGGGUGAUCGGCCACACUGGAACUGAGACACGGUCCAGACUCCUACGGGAGGCAGCAGUAGGGAAUCUUCCGCAAUGGGCGAAAGCCUGACGGAGCAACGCCGCGUGAGUGAUGAAGGUCUUCGGAUCGUAAAACUCUGUUAUUAGGGAAGAACAUAUGUGUAAGUAACUGUGCACAUCUUGACGGUACCUAAUCAGAAAGCCACGGCUAACUACGUG